AAGCGGGUCUGCACAAGGGCCUUCACAAAGGCUCCAACCCAGGAGCCGGCCCUGAGCAGGCUUUGGAAGCUCUGGGGGAGCCUCCUGUGUUCCCAGGGCGCCUAGUUCAGGUGGGGUGGCUGCUCCCUGUCUCUGCCUUCCUGGGGCCAUUUUCUCAUGGCCUGUGUUCAUGCCAGAACUAAAGUUGAGCUUGGUUCUGACACUGUGGGGAAGGAGGUAGAGUGGGGGAGUGGGGAGAGCCCCUUCUCCGGACAUGGCGGGGAUGGGGGUGGGGGAGCGGGCCCUGGGCCCCCCUCAAGCCUGCAUGUGUCAUCCUACUCCGGAGCUCCUCAUCCAAGUAGGCCCCAAAGUCUUCCUCAGCGGCCGUGGCUUCUCAGGCCAGUCAUCCCCCUCCCAGCUCUGCUCUGCUCUUCUUGGGAGCGUGCGUUUGGCCAUAAUGGCUGCCCCGUGAGUCCUCCCAGCAGACUAGGAGCUCCAGGAGCGCACAGGACUCUGGGCCAGGCCGGACAAAGCAGCUCUUCUCCACAGAACCACAGAACCACAGAACCACCUUCAGCCCCAACCUGAUGGUUUGGCCAGAGUCAAGGAUGGCCCCCAAGGCCCAUGUGCGCCACCUCACACACUCGCCAGCUCUGGGUUACUCACGCUGCUACGCCCAUUUCUAAGUGAACUGGCUGAGACACGGGGAAGCCCCAAGUUUCAUGGAGGCCACAAAUGUCAUGGAGGCCACAGGUUUCAUGGAGGCCACGAGUGUCACAGAGCCCACAAGUGUCACAGAGAUCAUGGGUGUCACAGAGGCCACGGGUUUCAGAGGCCACGGGUUUCACAGAGGCCACUGGUUUCAUGGAGGCCACGGGUUUCACGAGUGUCACGGAAGCCACGGGUGUCAUGGAGACCACGAGUGUCACAGAGACCACGAGUGUCACGGAGGCCACGAGUGUCAUGGAGACCAUGAGUGUCAUGGAGACCCCGAGUGUCACAGAGGCCACAAGUGUCAUGGAAGCCAUGAGUUAGGCCACAAGUGUCAUGGAGACCACAAGUGUCACAGAAGCCACGAGUAUCACAGAGACCAUGAGUUUCAUGGAGGCCACGAGUGUCAUGGAGGCCACAAGUGUCUCAGAGGCCACGAGUGUCACAGAGACCAUGAGUUUCAUGGAGGCCACGAGUGUCAUGGAGACCAUGGGUGUCAUGGAGGCCACGAUUGUCACAGAGACCACAAGUGUCAUGGAGACCAUGAGUGUCACAGAGGCCACGAGUGUCAUGGAGGCCACAAGUGUCAUGGAGACCAUGAGUUUCAUGGAGGCCUGUUCCCUGGCUUGAUGUUUGUGUUCCUGGCCGUUGUCCAGCCCUGGAGAUGCAGCUCCCCCCAACCUAGUCUGCCCUCCUGGACUCACCAGAGGGAACCAGUGAGACAGCAUGGAAGGUCCCAUCUGCAGAUCUUGGUCAAAUCACAGACUAUUGAACCUCUUCUGAGACAUGGAUCAGCCCAUCUAUUGCUUUGAUAGCUGUUAACGCACCACACUUACCCUCUGCAUGGAUUGAGAGCCUUCGCCCAUUUCUCAGCUUGAAGCAGCUUAGAUUGAGACCAUCGCCUCUACUCCUGAUAAUGGAAUCCCUCGCUGAGACUGCUGCCUGCCCAUGCCUGACCUGUGCCAAGGCGAACCCCACCCACCCCCCACUGUGCCUGCCCUGCGCCCCCCCGAGGACUCACACCGGGCCACACUGGGAAGUCAAUUUCACAAACAUGGAAGUUCGGGUUCAAGGACAGCAUUUUCUUUCUCUUUAUGUUGACACCUUCUCAGGUUGGCCUGAAGCCUUUCCUGUAAACUCUGAAUCUGCUUUGGUCGUAGCCAAGAAACUUCUGACUGAGAUUAUUCCCCGGUUUGGACUCCCCUUCUCCCUCGGUCUGACAAAGGCCCGGCCUUUGUUUCUGACAUUGUUCAGUCCCUGGCCCAGGCCCUCGGGUCCCACACGGACCACAGGGUUCGGGUCAGGAGGAAGGCGAGAACAGGACACUUGAGGAGCACAUUUCUGAGCUCCGUGGGGAGCUGGGGAGACCCGGGUGGGAGCCCAUGCAGUGCCCACCCCCAUCCUUCCCCGCUUGGGGCAGGGGCGGCUCUUAUGAUGUUACUAAUGGGUCCCUUUUCAAGUCCCUACAGGCCCUCCAGGACACCCAGGCAGUGAUCAGGGCUCUGCCGGCCUCCCUGGCCCCCACUGCUGGGCCGGACCUCCGAUGGGGGGAUGGGAUCCUGACCAGGAAGUUUCCUCGUGGCUCUGCCUUGGAACCUGGCGGGGCCGGCCCGGUCGUCCUCUGGGAUCCCUCAGCAGGGAAGGCGGCCACCACAAGGCUGGGAGCCAUCGCUCACAGGGGAGGCCUUGCCCCGCUCCCCUCGUGCCUGCAGGUCCCAUGCAGGAAGAUGGUGUUUUCAGUCUCAUCUCCUUUUAUGGCCUGACUCUCUCUCUGCUCCGCUCCCCCCCCCCCCCAUUGGGGAAGCCCGGCCACUAUUCCCCCCAGAGAUUUCCCCCAUAGAUGACAGCUAAGUUCUCAUAGGGACAACUGGGGGGAAGUGGCGGCCAGGGUUCCCUCUGGGCCUCUGCCAGCUCUCGGGGAGGACCUGGAGGGGUCCCCCUGCUCACAGCCCAGAGAAGGAGCCUCCCCCAACGCAGUUGUCAGUUCCCCUCAUUUACCCCAAGACCAGCCACAAGGACUCUCACCUGGGAGGGGAAACCACAACCCUCGUCCCCACAUUCCCCAGGACUGCUGUCUCCCAAUGGGACCUGUAUGCCAGCCCUUGAUGGGAUAACCGGCUGAUAAACCUGACCAGUCCCACCCUUGCCACAAGCUGGACCUGCCCCCCCCCCACUUUGUGGGCGUAGGUGCCCCCGGGGGUCAGAGGCCCCCCUCCAGAGAACCUGCCCAUGAUGCACCGCUCACGUUACCUUUGGGAGGGGGGGAAGGGGGAGCCCGGUGCAUCGGAAGUUAUAACCUGGGGCGCUCCCGUACAGAAAGCUCUGUGUAGUGGUUACCGAGGGUCCCCCCCCCACAAAUACCGUAAAUUCCCUUCUACGGUCCGGCAGGGGUCUAUGUUGCGCACACUAUGGGACUAAGUCCUUGGAUCAGUGCUCAAGCUUUGCCUGCUUGUGCACGGGCUCCCUCGGGUCUCUUACUCUGAGGAAGGGGCUGAAGCACACUCGGUCUGUUAGAUGGGGCGAGCAGGGCUGCUCCUACUCGUCCCCCUCCCGGUAGGACUGGGAAUAGCAGGCUCCAGGCUGUGGGGACCCCUGCCCUGAUCCAGGGGACAGCAGCUCUGGGUUCCCAGGUGGGCCAGGACUUUUAAGUCCUGGAAAAUCCCCUGUCCUUCCUGGAGAACUCCCUGAACUCCCGGGCAGAGGCGAUCACCGAUCCCUAGAUUUUCUCUAUCUUAAUCAGGGAGGGGCCCGUAUGGCCCUGGGGGGAGCUUGCUGUUUCUAAGCUAACAAGGCUGGGGCAAUGAAAGAGUCCCUCUCUGCAGUCAGAGGGUGGAUCAAGGCCCCAGAGACAACAGCGCCAGUCAGUGUUUUGGUCCCAGUCACUUUUCAGUUACUCCCCCCGCCUUGGGUAACCUCCCUUGUGACCCCCGAUAGGCCCCCUUACCCUAUUUCUGCUGGAGCUACUGAUGGCCCCUCGUUUGAUUGUUUAACCACAUAUGUCAGGAGGAGGAUCCAGGCAGUUAAGUUGCUUGUUGCCAGGGUCACUUACUCUCUCCUUGAUGAGUCCAGUCUCCAACGGUCUCAAGAAAAGGGGGGAGUGAAGUGGAAAAGCGCCCAAAUGGGACCGUGAGAAACGUACUCUUGGAUCUUUAUAGUUAGAAGUUUGUUACUAGUUCUUCACGCUCUAAUGCAGAUGGUAUUUCUACACCCCCAGAUAUGCUGUCCUGAGAGACCCGAGACCUUGACAACCUGAUAAACUUAAAGAAAUGCUGCUGUCUGGGAAUGACCCCCUUACAGUGAUAACCUUUGCCUCCUGUUUAGAACAGAAAUUCCUUUUAUUAUGACAAAUGUAUCAAGAAGCAUUUUGAUGUCUCUCGCUUUCUCCUUUAAAUAUGAGGCCAUGCUGAGACCACUCAUUACUGACCCUCCCAUCUUGGUGUUGGGGGAUCAGUCCUGGCCAGUAAUAAACGCUCUUCAAACUUCAUGAUUUUGCUACCCUGUGUUUCCUCUCGCUUGGGUG
Sarcophilus harrisii (Tasmanian devil) is the source of this 4210-nucleotide RNA transcript. It is a transcript of the gene named cadmium/zinc-transporting ATPase HMA2-like, with no coding region annotated. The transcript has 3 exons. NCBI's taxonomy places the organism in Eukaryota, Metazoa, Chordata, Mammalia, Dasyuromorphia, Dasyuridae. The record is from RefSeq and is a predicted model, not a curated record.